GAUGAACGCUGGCUACAGGCUUAACACAUGCAAGUCGAGGGGAAACGACGGGGAAGCUCGCUUCCCCGGGCGUCGACCGGCGCACGGGUGAGUAACGCGUAUCCAACCUGCCUCUGACUGAGGGAUAACCCGUCGAAAGUCGGCCUAAUACCUCAUGGCAUCGUCUGCGGGCAUCCAACGACGAUUAAAGAUUUCAUCGGUCAGAGAUGGGGAUGCGUCUGAUUAGCUUGUUGGCGGGGUAACGGCCCACCAAGGCGACGAUCAGUAGGGGUUCUGAGAGGAAGGUCCCCCACAUUGGAACUGAGACACGGUCCAAACUCCUACGGGAGGCAGCAGUGAGGAAUAUUGGUCAAUGGGCGAGAGCCUGAACCAGCCAAGUAGCGUGCAGGAUGACGGCCCUAUGGGUUGUAAACUGCUUUUAUGCGGGGAUAAAGUGAGGGACGUGUCCUUCAUUGCAGGUACCGCAUGAAUAAGGACCGGCUAAUUCCGUG
This 491-nucleotide ribosomal RNA is filed under the name uncultured bacterium. RNAcentral describes it as "partial 16S ribosomal RNA". It matches the Rfam family "Bacterial small subunit ribosomal RNA", at positions 28 to 507 of the family's 1533-position model. The record is from RNAcentral.